CCAAGUCAGGUGGGACUACCCGCUGAGCUUAAGCA
RNAcentral lists this ribosomal RNA (35 nucleotides) under Piper obtusilimbum. RNAcentral describes it as "partial 26S ribosomal RNA". The record is from RNAcentral. Lineage: Eukaryota; Viridiplantae; Streptophyta; Magnoliopsida; Piperales; Piperaceae.